RNAcentral lists this ribosomal RNA (304 nucleotides) under Foraminifera sp. Its description in RNAcentral is "partial small subunit ribosomal RNA". Lineage: Eukaryota; Foraminifera. The record is from RNAcentral.
AGUUCGUGGAGUGAUCUGUCUGCUUAAUUGCGUUUCACUAAGGGCUUAUUAAUUUAACGUGUGUUGUUAGGCGUAACUUUGACCCCUAAUUUUAAUAAAAUUAGUGCGUGUCUUAGUUUUUAUUGCUUUUAACUCACACAAUUAAGUCCUGAAAGCAACGAACGUGACCGCAACCUCUUGUUGCCUUUAUAUAUUUAUUUAUUUACGCCUCGCGCGUAAAAAAAUUAAAAAAAAAGGGUUUUUAAACUAGAGGGACCGCUGUAACUUUUUUAAACCAGAGGAAGGUUGCGGCAAUAACAGGUCU